Molecule: ribosomal RNA, 896 nt
Filed under: uncultured bacterium
Lineage: Bacteria
Description: bacterial SSU rRNA
Rfam family: Bacterial small subunit ribosomal RNA
Source: RNAcentral
AGAGUUUGAUCAUGGCUCAGAACGAACGCUGGCGGCGCGUCUUAAACAUGCAAGUCGAACGAUCUGUAGCAAUACAGGGAGUGGCGGACGGGUGAGGAACACGUAGGAAUCUACCUAGAAGAGCGGGACAACUUUGGGAAACCGGGGCUAAUACCGCAUAGUACAGAGAUGUUAAAGGGCUAGCAAUAGUCGCUUCUAGAUGAGCCUGCGGUCUAUCAGCUUGUUGGUGAGGUAAUGGCUCACCAAGGCAACGACGGAUAGCCGGUCUGAGAGGAUGAUCGGCCACACUGGCACUGAGACACGGGCCAGACUCCUACGGGAGGCAGCAGUUAAGAAUCUUGCGCAAUGGGGGAAACCCUGACGCAGCGACGCCGCGUGAAGGAUGAAGGCUUUCGGGUUGUAAACUUCGGUAGACUGGGAAGAAGAACUACGUUCGUUGAGGGCGUAGAGUGACGGUACCAGUCUGAAGCCCCGGCUAAUUACGUGCCAGCAGCCGCGGUAAUACGUAUGGGGCAAGCGUUGUUCGGAAUUAUUGGGCGUAAAGGGCUCGCAGGUGGUUUGUUAAGUUGGUGGUUUAAUCUCUGGGCUCAACCCAGAGUCAGCCUCCAAAACUGGCGAACUUGAGUACGAUAGGGGAUAGCGGAAUUCUCGGUGUAGCGGUGGAAUGCGUAGAUAUCGAGAGGAACACCAAUGGCGAAGGCAGCUAUCUGGAUCGUAACUGACACUCAUGAGCGAAAGUGCGGGGAGCAAACAGGAUUAGAUACUCUGGUAGUCCGCACCGUAAACGUUGUAUACUAGUUGUUGGUGGUUUCAACGCCAUCAGUGACGUCGCUAACGCAUUAAGUAUACCGCCUGGGGAGUAUGCUCGCAAGGGUGAAACUCAAAGGAAUUGACGG